GGAGCGGUACUCAAGUGGUGAAGAGGCGUGACUCGAAAUCUCGUAGAUCCGCAAGGAUGCGUGGGUUCGACCCCCACCCGCUCCG
Molecule: transfer RNA, 85 nt
Filed under: Lachnospiraceae bacterium
Lineage: Bacteria; Bacillati; Bacillota; Clostridia; Lachnospirales; Lachnospiraceae
Description: tRNA-Ser
Rfam family: tRNA
About the family: Transfer RNA (tRNA) molecules are approximately 80 nucleotides in length. Their secondary structure includes four short double-helical elements and three loops (D, anti-codon, and T loops). Further hydrogen bonds mediate the characteristic L-shaped molecular structure. tRNAs have two regions of fundamental functional importance: the anti-codon, which is responsible for specific mRNA codon recognition, and the 3' end, to which the tRNAs corresponding amino acid is attached (by aminoacyl-tRNA synthetases). tRNAs cope with the degeneracy of the genetic code in two manners: having more than one tRNA (with a specific anti-codon) for a particular amino acid; and 'wobble' base-pairing, i.e. permitting non-standard base-pairing at the 3rd anti-codon position.
Source: RNAcentral